AGGACUUCACAACAUGCGAAUACCACCACUUCUAUGGAUAUUCGUUGUUGAUGAAGUCUUAA
Molecule: microRNA precursor, 62 nt
Filed under: Caenorhabditis briggsae
Lineage: Eukaryota; Metazoa; Nematoda; Chromadorea; Rhabditida; Rhabditidae
Description: Cbr-Mir-76_pre stem-loop
Source: RNAcentral